CGUAGGGUGCGAGCGUUAAUCGGAAUUACUGGGCGUAAAGCGUGCGCAGGCGGUUUAGUAAGACAGGCGUGAAAUCCCCGGGCUCAACCUGGGAACUGCGCUUGUGACUGCUAAGCUAGAGUACGGCAGAGGGGGUGGAAUUCCGCGUGUAGCAGUGAAAUGCGUAGAUAUGCGGAGGAACACCGAUGGCGAAGGCAAUCCCCUGGGCCUGUACUGACGCUCAUGCACGAAAGCGUGGGGAGCAAACAGGAUUAGAUACCCUGGUAGUCCACGCCCUAAACGAUGUCAACUGGUUGUUGGGUCUUCACUGACUCAGUAACGAAGCUAACGCGUGAAGUUGACCGCCUGGGGAGUACGGCCGCAAGGUUG
Molecule: ribosomal RNA, 369 nt
Filed under: uncultured organism
Description: bacterial SSU rRNA
Rfam family: Bacterial small subunit ribosomal RNA
Source: RNAcentral